GCCCUCGUAGCUCAACUGGAUAGAGCACGGGACUUCUAAUCCCGGGGUUGCAGGUUCGAGUCCUGCCGAGGGCGCCA
This 77-nucleotide transfer RNA is filed under the name Rhodospirillaceae bacterium. RNAcentral describes it as "tRNA-Arg". It matches the Rfam family "tRNA". Rfam says of the family: Transfer RNA (tRNA) molecules are approximately 80 nucleotides in length. The record is from RNAcentral. Lineage: Bacteria; Pseudomonadati; Pseudomonadota; Alphaproteobacteria; Rhodospirillales; Rhodospirillaceae. RNAcentral also lists the same sequence under 1 other name.